UAGAGUUUGAUCCUGGCUCAGAUUGAACGCUGGCGGCAGGCCUAACACAUGCAAGUCGAACGGUAACAGGAAGAAGCUUGCUUCUUUGCUGACGAGUGGCGGACGGGUGAGUAAUGUCUGGGAAACUGCCUGAUGGAGGGGGAUAACUACUGGAAACGGUAGCUAAUACCGCAUAACGUCGCAAGACCAAAGAGGGGGACCUUCGGGCCUCUUGCCAUCGGAUGUGCCCAGAUGGGAUUAGCUAGUAGGUGGGGUAACGGCUCACCUAGGCGACGAUCCCUAGCUGGUCUGAGAGGAUGACCAGCCACACUGGAACUGAGACACGGUCCAGACUCCUACGGGAGGCAGC
RNAcentral lists this ribosomal RNA (349 nucleotides) under uncultured Escherichia sp. RNAcentral describes it as "bacterial SSU rRNA". It matches the Rfam family "Bacterial small subunit ribosomal RNA", at positions 1 to 352 of the family's 1533-position model. The record is from RNAcentral. Lineage: Bacteria; Pseudomonadati; Pseudomonadota; Gammaproteobacteria; Enterobacterales; Enterobacteriaceae.